CUUUGUAUCGUCGCGGUGCACGCGCUUAACUCUGAGUCAGACAACUCAGAGUUGCUUAAACCUUUUCUCUAAACUCUUUUCAGCUGUUCUGAAACCGAAAACUCCAGGUUUGCAAACUCAAAGUAGAUCAACACAGAGUUUCGUUUAAACUCAGAGUUUGUUAAACCUCCUUCUUGAAACGGGCCCCAGGACCAGGAGGUUAAAUCUAAUCUGUUUAUGGUUAUUGUGCGUUCCUGUUAUUUCAGUCUCUCUUCUGCUUCCUCACCUUCACAUCCGGUACAUUAAACAUUUUAUCUUAUUGUGGAGGAAGAAAAAACUGAGAAACCGAAAGUGAAACUGCGAUGAUUCUGUCGCAGUUUAAUGCAGCAGCCUCAUUGUUCAGAGGAGUCUGUCAGAGAUGGAGCUGCUUCUUCUGAGUCUCUGCCUCGUGUCUUUGUCUGGAUCAACGUUUGCUGAUGGAAACGGUCCAGAGAUCAUCAAGGUGAAAGAAGGCAAUAAUGCGAUUCUGCCCUGUUACAUCAAAGACAAGGACAUUUUGUCUAAGCGGUUUGAGUGGAAGAAAGAUGGAAAGAAGGACGUUUACCUGUAUGACGGAAGUCCGUUAUCAGGUCAAGAUGAGCAGUUCAUCGGUCGUGUGUCUCAUUUUGACCAUGAACUGAAGAACGGUGACGCCUCCAUAAAAAUCAGAGAUACUAAAGUGUCUGACACUGGAUUCUACACCUGUAAUUUACCAAAUCUUACCCAAACCUUCACCGUUCACCUUCGUGUUGGUAAAGUUGCAAAGCUGCACACCAAAAAACUUACAAAAAUGAAGGACGGGGUCCCGCUGCUGUGUCUGGUUUCAGAUGCAUCUCCUGAUUUUCAACUGAAAAUCUCCUGGUUCGACAGCUCUGGAAACAAACUCAAUUCACAAUUAGAGAUAAAAAAAAAUGGAGAACUCCACAUCCUCCAAACUACUGUGACCAAGAGUGAUACUUAUCGCUGUGAUGCAACAAUGGAGGAACUUAGUCAUCAGAUUGAUGAUAAUGUCACUGUCACAGAUGAAGACUUAAACAACACUUCAGAGCAGGAAGCAUGAAGCUUCAGUUGAGGCAGCAGUGAAGCAAGGCAGCAAAGCAGAGUGCGACUCCUCAUGAAGCGUCCAGGACGACGCUCGCUCUUCUUCAGCAGAUCCCGCUCUGCUCAUGUGUCGGUCUCUUCCUGGUGGAUCCUGGACCACGUGGAGCCUCAGGGUUUCACCAGGAGGAGGCUCACACGUCAAACAGGGUGGAGGGUUGCUAGUUUGAUGCCACGUGGUGAACUGCUGCUGUGUGAGGUCACUUUGGACCAAAGCAUCAGUCGAGUCACGAAAUUAAACAACAGCAGGUUUUAAACAUUUAGUCUCAUUUACUCUGAGACGUCAGUGACUCUUGGCUUUUAGAUGCUGGUUGUUAAGUCCCACAAAAACCUCACUUUAAAUGUUUAUGUUUGAAAAUAUUAUUUUUUGCUCACAUUUUAUUUUAUGGGAAUAACAGGUUUUCAUCAUCGUAUUUAUGUUUCACUUCCAUUAUCUGUGUCACACUAAUGUUUGUUCUGUGUUUCAGACAUCCCAGUGGGUGUGUGGGUUGGUUUAGCAGUUAUGGCUCUUAUAAUUGUAGCUGGGGCUGGAGUUAUAUACAAACUCUGGAAGAAAAACAGGUCACGGAUCUAGGCAUGACAACUUCCAGACAUCCAGACCGGGGUGUGACACAGAACUUCAUCUGGACUCGAUGUUUCUGUGUCCACAUGACUCAACCUGACAUGAUGUUACAGUGAUUUUAUUUCACAUUGUCUUAGUUCACCCUGUGUUUACCUGAACAGGUGUUAGGUUUUGUUUUUUCUGUUUUCAGUCCAUGUUGAUGUAAAUGUCUGACGUCACUAUAAACAGACAUUGAUGAUUCUGCAGGAACCUGAUGGUAAAACCUUCCAGCUUCACGUAAACACAGGCUGUAGAACCAUUGGUGAAUAUAAUUAUUUACAUUGUUGUGCAGCUUUGAAGUCAAAUGUAACUUGAGUUGCUGUUAAAAGCAAUUAAAGGAUUUUACCAACAUUUUGCUUCAAUUCCAAAUAUUCAACCUCAUGAAAUAUAUAAUUAAAUAUAUAUUUUCUGUGAACAAGCAGCUAAGGUUUAAGUAUAAACAAGUGAGUGACCCUGAGACCUGAACAGAGGAACCAGCUGGAGGAAACAGUCGUUCCCCGUUUAAAGUGAUCAGACGCUUAAUUGAUUCAUUGGCUUAAACUUGAUGUAUUUAAUGUGAAUAUUUAGCAGCUACAUUCAACAAAAUGUGACUUUUAUUUAAUGGUUCCUUCUUUUCUGUAUAAAGUGUUGGUCCAAAAUCUGGACAUCUUCAUGUGGUUAACAGUAAACAGUUACAGUUAGCAUUUAGUCGUUUUUAUUUGAUUAACUUUAGCUUUUUCAGAGUUUGUCGUAUUAAUUCAUUUUCAUGAUGUAACAUUUCUAUGAUUUAUCUAAUUAGUGUCAGAUACAGUUUUUAUGCUGCAAUAUUAAAACACAUUUACUUUAUUGUUUGAUUUAGUUCAGAUACUGUUUAUAACUGUUAUAAUUUUAGUUCAGAUUCAGGUUUUACUUGAGAUCAGAUUGUUUCGUAGGGAAAUUAAAAUAGUUCCUGUUGUCUAAUAACAAAUAUUUGUCAUUAUUAAAUAACUUUUAACUGUGCAAACAUUAAAAUACAUAAUAUACUCAAACUGUUUGUAGAUGAUUUUUCUAUGUAGAAGAAGAAAGCCUUUAUUGCUCAUUAU
RNA transcript from Betta splendens (Siamese fighting fish), 2778 nucleotides. It is a transcript of the gene named coxsackievirus and adenovirus receptor homolog, with no coding region annotated. The record is from RefSeq and is a predicted model, not a curated record. Lineage: Eukaryota; Metazoa; Chordata; Actinopteri; Anabantiformes; Osphronemidae. The transcript has 6 exons.